This 478-nucleotide long non-coding RNA is filed under the name Monodelphis domestica (gray short-tailed opossum). RNAcentral describes it as "lncRNA (ENSMODG00000033388.2)". Lineage: Eukaryota; Metazoa; Chordata; Mammalia; Didelphimorphia; Didelphidae. The record is from RNAcentral.
CAGGGCUGAAGGUAUAGAUGUAACAGCAGAAAAUAUAAGAUCAGUUGAGUUCUCCCCAAGGAAAAGAUCCCAAAAGAGCAGAGUAGAAGACUGAGGUCUUGGGGUAUCUUUAUAAUGAGAAUACAAUGAGGAAGAGGAACCAGAAAGACAAUGAAAGCCCCCCAAAAUGAGCUGUCAAAGAGAUUAAAAUAGAACCUAUAUAGUUCAGUGUCAAGAGAGUCAAGAAAGACAAGUUCCAAGUAGACAAUAAUCUACACUGUCGAUGCUUCAGAGAGGAAGAAAAAUUAGAGGCACAGCUUUCAAAACUGUGCAAAUUGAAAUGGCAAAAGGACCACCACUCCUCACCCCCAUUUGUCUCCUGCUGCAUCCCAUUAACAGAGAAUUGGAGUUCGUGCCAGCCUCGAUUCCGAUGUAAGCCAAUGCAAUGCAUUCCACAUUGUAUGGGCUUAAUAAAUGCUUUUUUUCAAAUGGAAUGGCA